This 497-nucleotide ribosomal RNA is filed under the name uncultured bacterium. RNAcentral's name for it is "partial 16S ribosomal RNA". It matches the Rfam family "Bacterial small subunit ribosomal RNA", at positions 28 to 507 of the family's 1533-position model. The record is from RNAcentral.
GACGAGCGCUGGCGGCGUGCCUAAUACAUGCAAGUAGAACGCUGAGGGGGGAGCCUUCCUCUUCUUGGAUGGGUGGGGACGGGGUGGUUAACGGGAGGUUAACCUGCUUGGAGGGGGGGGAAAACUAUGGGAAAGAAAGGUAAAUACGCAAUAAAAAUGGUUGAACCAUGUCAUUUAUUUGAAAGGGGAAAUUGCUCAACUAAAAGAUGACCUUGCGUUGUAUUAGCUAGUAGGUGAGGUAAUGGCUCACCUAGGCGACGAUACAUAGCCGACCUGAGAGGGUGAUCGGCCACACUGGGACUGAGACACGGCCCAGACUCCUACGGGAGGCAGCAGUAGGGAAUCUUCGGCAAUGGGGGCAACCCUGACCGAGCAACGCCGCGUGAGUGAAGAAGGUUUUCGGAUCGUAAAGCUCUGUUGUAAGUCAAGAACGGGUGUGAGAGUGGAAAGUUCACACUGUGACGGUAGCUUACCAGAAAGGGACGGCUAACUACGUG